Molecule: long non-coding RNA, 327 nt
Organism: Mauremys reevesii (Reeves's turtle)
Lineage: Eukaryota; Metazoa; Chordata; Testudines; Geoemydidae
Exons: 3
Source: RefSeq, a predicted model, not a curated record
AUCUAUCGGGGAUCACUCUCCCAUCGACUGCUGAACUCCAGCUUGGCGAGAGGCAGAAGCAAAGUCGACGGGGAAGCAGCAGCCAUCGAUCCCACACUGCAAGGACGCAAAUUUAUUCUAGUUCCAACAGCAGAGGGCAGCAAGUUACCAAACAGAUCAGAGAAGGCUAAGAAGCUGGAGCUGUGGGGAGGAGGGGAAGAAACCAUGAAGCAUUCACCAAAGCCAACCUCAAAGCUUAACCAGUGUAUGACAUCAGUGGCUGGCUCUCCAAGACACUACAGGGGCCAUGUCAUACUGCUUUAAAAAAAGAAGAGGGCAAAAUUGCAG